Molecule: long non-coding RNA, 3947 nt
Organism: Homo sapiens (human)
Lineage: Eukaryota; Metazoa; Chordata; Mammalia; Primates; Hominidae
Gene: DPY19L2P2
Product: DPY19L2 pseudogene 2
Source: Ensembl
UAGUCAACGGCUCGUCAACGGCUGCGGGGACAAGUCCGUUGAGGCUGCCAGGCGAGUCAGGCCUUUCUGGACCUCGCCUGACUCGGCUGGGCUGUGCCUGAAAUUGACCCAGCUCCACUAGGAAUUAUGAAGAAACAAGGAGGGAAUUGAAAACAAGGAAUUCCCCAACCAAACAGGGGCACAGGCUGUGUUUGCAGCUCCUGUAAAAGCUCCAUACCCAGAGCCGUGUCUCCCAGCUCCCAGCCGUCUUUGUGGCAAUUCUACAUUGGUUACAUUUAGUAACACUUUUUGAAAAUGAUCAUCAUUUCUCUCACCUCUCAUCUUUGGAACGGGAGAUGACUUUUUGCAUUGAAACGGUUAGGUUUCUUCUUCUAACGAAUUAAUUUGUGGUUUAAGAAUAGCCAGACCGAGAGGUGACAGCAUGCUGGCAGUCCUCAGAGCCCUUGCUUGCUCUCGGCACCUCCCCUGCCUGGGCUCCCGCUUUGGUGGCAUUUGAGGAGCCCUUCAGUCCCCCACUGCACUGUGGGAGCCCCUUUCUGGGCUGGCCAAGGCCGGAGCCCACUCCCUCAGCUUGCAGGGAGGUGUGGAGGGAGAGACACGAGCGGGAACCGGGGCUGUGUGCUGCACUUGCGGGCCAUCUGGAGUUCCGGGUGGGCGUGGGCUUGGUGGGCCCCGCACUCAGAGCAGCCAGCCAGCCCUGCUGGCCCCGGGCAAUGGGGGACUUAGCACCUGGGCCAGUGGCUGCGGAGGGUGUACUGAGUCCCCCAGCAGUGCUGGCCCACCGGCGCUGCGCUCGAUUUCUCGCUGGGCCUUGGCUGCCUUCCCACGGGGCAGGGCUCGGGACCUGCAGCCCGCCAUGCCUGAGCCUCCUACCCAAUCCAUGGGCUCCUGUGCGGCCUGAGCCUCCCCGACGAGCACCACCCCCUGCUCCACGGCGCCCAGUCCCAUCGACCACGCAAGGGCUGAGGAAUGCGAGCGCCCGGCACAGGACUGGCAGGCAGCUCCACCUGCAGCCCCAGUGCAGGAUCCACUAGGUGAAGCCAGCUGGGCUCCUGAGUCUGGUGGGGACGUGGAGAGUCUUUAUAUCUAGCUCAGGGAUUGUAAAUACACCAAUCAGCACCCUGUGUUUAGCUCAAGGUUUGUGAGUGCACCAGUCAACACUCUGUAUCUAGCUGCUCUGGUGAGGGCGUGGAGAGUCUUUAUGUCUAGCUCAAGGAUUGUAAAUACACCAAUCAGCACUCUGUGUCUAGCUCAAGGAUUGUAAAUACACCAAUCGGCACUCUGUAUCUAGCUCAAGGUUUGUAAACACACCAAUCAGCACCCUGUGUUUAGCUCAAGGUUUGUGAGUGCACCAGUCGACACUCUGUAUCUAGCUGCCCUGAUGGGGACGUGGAGAACCUUUGUAUCUAGCUCAGGGAUUGUAAACGCACCAAUCAGCGCCCUGACGAAACAGGCCACUCGGCUCUACCAAUCAGCAGGAUGUAGGUGGGGCCAGAUAAGAGAAUAAAAGCGGGCUGCCCGAGCCAGCAUUGGCAACCCGCUCGGGUCCCCUUCCACACUGUGGAAGCUUUGUUCUUUCGCUCUUUGCAAUAAAUCUUGCUACUGCUCACUCUUUGGGUCCACGCUGCUUUUGUGAGCUGUAACACUCACCAUGAAGAUCUGCAGCUUCACUCCUGAGCCCAGCGAGACCACGAGCCCACCGGGAGGAACGAACAACUCCAGACACGCCACCUUAAGAGCUGUAACACUCACCGCGAGGGUCCACCGCUUCAUUCUUGAAGUCAGUGAGACCAAGAACCCACCAAUUCCGGACACAAGACUAUGAGGGACUUUAUUAUUCUUACUUCAAGACCAUUAUUGAAGCACCUUCAUUUUUGGGAGGACUGUGGAUGAUUAUGAAUGACAGGCUUACUGAAUAUCCUCUUGUAAUUAAUGCAGUAAAACGCUUCCAUAUUUAUCCAGAGGUAAUCAUAGCCUCCUGGUAUCGCACAUUCAUGGGAAUAGUGAAUUUAUUUGGACUAGAAACUAAGACCUGCUGGAAUGUCACCAGAAUAGAACCUCUUAAUGAAGUUCAAAGCUGUGAAGGAUUGCGAGAUCCUGCUUGCUUUUAUGUUGGUGUAAUCUUUAUUUUAAAUGGACUAAUGAUGGGAUUGUUCUUCAUAUAUGGAACAUACCUAAGUGGUACUGAACUGGGAGGUCUUAUUACAGUACUGUGCUUCUUUUUCAACCAUGGAGAGGCCACCUGUGUGAUGUGGACACCACCUCUCCGUGAAAGUUUUUCCUAUCCUUUCCUUGUACUUCAGAUGUAUGUUUUAACUUUGAUUCUCAGGACCUCAAGCAAUGAUAGAAGGCCCUUCAUUGCACUCUGUCUUUCCAAUGUUGCUUUUAUGCUUCCCUGGCAAUUUGCUCAGUUUAUACUUUUUACACAGAUAGCAUCAUUAUUUCCCAUGUAUGUUGUGGGAUACAUUGAACCAAGCAAAUUUCAGAAGAUCAUUUAUAUGAACAUGAUUUCAGUUACCCUUAGUUUCAUUUUGAUGUUUGGAAAUUCAAUGUACUUAUCUUCUUAUUAUUCUUCAUCUUUGUUAAUGACAUGGUUUAGUAAUCCUGGCUCACUUUGGGAAUUUCUUCACCAACUAAAUGAUAAAAAAUUGGAAUCUAAGUCUAAAUAAUACGCAAGUCGAAGAAUUCAGUUUCUCAUGAGCGCACUGUUUUCACCCCAAACUUGGGAAUAAACAAAUAACCUAUCAACUUGUAGAGAUGGCAAUAAUUCUAAAGAGAAAUGAAAUUCAAAAACUGGGAGUAUCUAAACUCAACUGCUGGCUAAUUCAAGGUAGUGCCUGGUGGUGUGGAACAAUCAUUUUGAAAUUUCUGACAUCUAAAAUCUUAGGCGUUUCAGACCAUAUUUGCCUGAGUGAUCUUAUAGCAGCCGGAAUCUUAAGGUAUACAGAUUUUGAUACUUUAAAAUACACCUGUUCUCCCGAAUUUGACUUCAUGGAAAAAGCGACUCUGCUGAUAUACACAAAGACAUUAUUGCUUCCAGUUGUUAUGGUGAUUACAUGUUUUAUCUUUAAAAAGACUGUUGGUGAUAUUUCGCGUGUUUUAGCUACAAACGUUUAUCUAAGAAAACAGCUCCUUGAACACAGUGAGCUGGCUUUUCACACAUUGCAGUUGUUAGCAUUUACUGCCCUUGCCAUUUUAAUUUUGAGGCUAAAGCUGUUUUUGACACAGCACAUGUGUGUUAUGGCUUCCUUGAUAUGCUCUUGACGGCUCUUUGGCUGGCUUUUUCGCAGAGUUCGCAGAGAGAAUGUUAUCUUUGGCAUUCUAACAGUGAUGUCAAUACAAGGUUAUGCAAACCUCUGUAAUCAAUGGAGCAUAACAGGAGAAUUUAAUGAUUUGCCUCAGGAAGAACUUUUACAGUGGAUCAAAUACAAUACCGUACCAGAUGCUGUCUUUGCAGGUGCCAUGCCUACAAUGGCAAGUGUCAAGCUGUCUACACUUCAUCCCAUUGUGAAUCAUCCACAUUACGAAGAUGCAGACUUGAGGGCUUGGACAAAAAUAGUUUAUUCUACAUAUAGUGGAAAAUCUGCCAAAGAAGUAAGAGAUAAAUUGUUGGAGUUACAUGUGAAUUAUUAUGUUUUAGAAGAGGCAUGGUGUGUUGUGAGAACUAAGCCUGGUUGCAGCAUGCUUGAAAUCUGGGAUGUGGAAGACCCUUCCAAUGCAGCUAACCCUCCCUUAUGUAGCGUCCUCCUUGAGCCGAGAUUGUGCCACUGCACUCCAGCCUGGGCGACAAAUCAAGACCCCGUCUCCAAAAAAAAAAAAAACAAAACUUGAUUGGGAUCCAAAAUCAUACAACUAUACACUAAAAUCAGUGAAUAUUACCUUAUGUAAAUUAAAAAUUAGGAAAUCAAAAGAAAAGCAUACAUAUAAAAAACAGUUUUUUCUAAGCA